RNAcentral lists this ribosomal RNA (437 nucleotides) under uncultured bacterium. RNAcentral's name for it is "bacterial SSU rRNA". It matches the Rfam family "Bacterial small subunit ribosomal RNA", at positions 958 to 1397 of the family's 1533-position model. The record is from RNAcentral.
AACGCGAAGAACCUUACCCAGACUUGACAUGUACCUGACAGCGGCAGAAAUGUCGCCUUCCGAAAGGACAGGUACACAGGUGCUGCAUGGCUGUCGUCAGCUCGUGCCGUGAGGUGUUGGGUUAAGUCCCGCAACGAGCGCAACCCUUAUCACUAGUUGCCAGCAUUUCGGAUGGGAACUCUAGUGAGACUGCCUGGGUUAACCAGGAGGAAGGUGAGGAUGACGUCAAGUCAGCAUGGCCCUUAUGUCUGGGGCCACACACGUGCUACAAUGGCCGGUACAGAAGGCAGCAAUACCGCAAGGUGGAGCAAAUCCCGAAAGCCGGUCCCAGUUCGGAUUGUAGUCUGCAACUCGACUACAUGAAGUUGGAAUUGCUAGUAAUGGCGCGUCAGCUACAGCGCCGUGAAUACGUUCCCGGGCUUGUACACACCGCGAGC